Long non-coding RNA from Portunus trituberculatus (swimming crab), 1101 nucleotides. RefSeq lists it as uncharacterized. The transcript is spliced from 3 exons. Lineage: Eukaryota; Metazoa; Arthropoda; Malacostraca; Decapoda; Portunidae. The record is from RefSeq and is a predicted model, not a curated record.
GAAGAGGAGGAGGAGGAGGAGGAGGAUGGCGAGGAAGAGGAAGAGGCAGAAGGAAGAAGUUUAGGAGGAGGAGGAGCGAGAAGACCGAAGCGAAGUUAGGGAUUCUAGUUUGCUGAGUGGAGCAUUCGACCUCUAGACUUCACGCCAGUACCACCCUCGCUACCUCUCCAGACUUCGCAGCCUAGGGUCCCUGCCUCUUAUCUCGUGAUACGUGUAGAGCAGUAACACCAGCGAGGAAGACUGAUUGGGGAGUUUGACCUACGUGAGAGCAGAGCAGAGCAGAGGUUGAUCUGUGUUGCUGCCAUUGGGUGACUGGAGGACGAAACCAGUUUCCUGCCCGACAAUCCCCAUCCUGCUGUAGGAAACACUCCCGUGUUGCACCGGGAGAGUAGAUGCCAUCUUGUGCCUCGCUUGGCCAUCUAGGGAGAACCGUCUGGCACCACCUCUGUGCGCUGUCCGGCCGACUGCUGCUGCUGCUGCUGGUACUGCUACUACUACUGCUACUGCUACUACUGCUACUGCUACUACUACUGCUGCCGCUGCCAUCCAGGGAAGGACUCUCUGCCUGGCACCGCGCCUGUGUACUGCCCGGCCAACACCUGCUAUUGCCGCCAUCCAGAGAGGGACUCUACCUGGCACCGCACCUGUACACUGCCCGGCCGACACCUGCUGAUGCAGCUGCUGCUGUUGCCGCCAUCCAUCGAGGGACUGCCUGGCACUGCACUUGUACAUUGCCCGGCCGAUUGCUUCUGCUGCCGCCGCCAUCCAUUAAAGGACUCGGCCUUGCAGCGCAGAUCCACUGCCCAGCCAAUAUAUUUCUGCUUUGCCUUGUCUAUCUUAUUUCAUUGUCCUGUAUUUGUUGUAUAGGUGCUGCUAUGAUGACUUGAAUAUUCAAGUGCUGCUGUGGUGCCACUACUGAAUGAACAAAUUACGAAAUGUGUUGAUUUUGGUAAAUUUACCUUUCUAAGGAAAAGGAGUCCUUACCUCAAGCUGACUUAGGACUGAUACAGCGUUAUUUAUUAUCUCCAGAAUCUACAUUUUAGCCUAAAGAAAAACACAUUCCAAGAGAUGAGAAUAAAAUACACUAAUUGAUUUUGAAAA